CCCCUCCAGCCCCUCCCUGCUCCUCGUCUCCUCUCUGGAGCCCCAGCACCCUCGCUGGAGAGAGCACCUUAGGAAUCAGCUUAUAGCCCUGGGUGUCUCCUCCAGGUCCCCCACGGCCCAUGUGCUGAAGGAACAGGACAAAUGAGGGUGAAGGACGCAGCCCUCUCCCUUCUUCCCUCUCUCCUUGCCUCUUCCCUUGUGUUCUGAGGGCCAAGAAUCGCUGAGACUCCCUGCUUCUCCAGCUGCUGUUGUUAAGUGCAUGGCAUCAAUCACAUCCCGCAUCUGUGAAGUCUUGAGUCUUCCCCAGAGUAGACUCAGAGUCACUAGUGGGGCCUAAAUAUUUCCAUCACACCGUCAACUCAGAGAACCCAGUCAGCAGCCCAGAUCUGUCUGGGGGAGGGGCCUUCAGCCUUGACGAAUCUAAUCCCAUCGCCUGGCUCUGCAGGCUCUGGGGAGAUGAUCCACAGGUCACCUGCCACUGGCUGUACCUCCAUUUUCUGACCUUCCUAAGACAUUCCUGGACCCACUCGCUCCAUGCUGAGGCCUCUUGAGCCAAGAGCUCUUUUGGUUGGAAAAUCAGCUCCAAACAUAUGGGGCCCCUCCUGCCUUGCCAACUCUCUGGCUAGUGAGGUCGUCUCCAAGGACCCCAGCUCCAGCAGAGGGCCAGAGAAUCCCCCUCAGAAGUUUCAUGGCUGAGAGGCAUGUGUGCUCAUUGAGAGGACAAACGAGCUGGUGACUCACACCAGGCUUGGAGCUGUGGUCACAGUUUUCUUUGGUUUCAGCUUUGAGAGAAAGAGACCAAAUCCCAUUUAACACUUCUGUACUUGGCGCUGUGCUGACAUGGCCACUGCCCUUCCUCAGGGGGAGACACAGGUGGGUGCAGGGGUCAGGCAAUCAGGGAGUGAGUGCAGGAGCUGGGGUGCUGGGGGAGGCCCAGACCCACCUUGGGUCUGCCUGGAAGAACUGGAGCAGAAAAGCCAGGCUGGGAAGUUCCAGGAAGCUGUGGGCAUCUUUGAUAGAAAGGGAAGCUUCAGAUGCAGCCAUGGCCUGGGGUAUUCAAUAUUAAGAUGGAAUGAGGAAGGCCUGUUGAGAGGCAAGGAGGAAGAAGGCAGGCCUCACAGGGCUAAGAGGGGCUGGCAAAGAGCUCUGCUGUUAUUCACAAAUCAGUGGGGAGCCUUUGCAAGGUCUGAAAUGAGUGUGGACUGUCCAUGAAGAAAGCCUUUCUGAGGGUAUGAAGAACCUGGGCAUCGGAGGUGAGGUCCUGGCUGUGUGUCCAGGCCACAGACUCAUUUAGCAGCGACCACAGCCGGCCAGGGCCCAGACUGAGGUCCUGCAGACCAGCCCACAGGCCCUGGCUAGGUAGCGUGCACAGGCAGUGAGGCUGCUGCCGCCCGGCAGGGGCUUCAGGAGACUGACUCAUCAGUGUCCCCAGGGCCCAACCCAGGGCUGGGGCAGAGCAGGCGCCAGGGAAAGUGUGUUGUGGGGAGAAAGCAGCUUUACAAAUGCUUGCAGCAGCCAGACUGGAGUUAUUUCUUCCUGCCCGCACAUCCUCAGAUCUGGAAAUAAGGAAGUGUGAGGCUCCAGUGAGCUCCUGUACUCAGGCAUGGUUGUAAGGGCUUGGGGACCACUGGAGCCCCAGGGAGACUUUUCCUCAAUUUUCUCGUCUUUAAGUUAGUAUGUGUGGGUGCAGAAGGAAUGACAAGCAAUGGAAACUGGCUGGGGUGCUGGCAGCCUGUGCAUUGGGAGCCACAUGACCACUAACCUUUCACACAUGUACCAGUGCGUGCUGGUGGGGAGAUCCCAGCUCCUCCUCACUCUUCUCUCUGGCAGUGAAAUAGGAUAGAUUUGUUAGCCCCAUUUCACCAAGCGGGCCUCCCCAAAACAUUGACUCUAUUUCCCAGGGACUUGAUGAGCCAAAUGGGGUUGGGAUGGAGGGGCCCUCCAGGGAAUCUCUGUUUUUCUAGAUGGGUCUGGCAUCCCUGCUCCCGACCUUGGCCUCUAGGGUUGCCAGGACCCCUUGGCCGGCGGACGCAGAGGCGAAGCGCAAGAAGUGCCAAGGCACCCCACGUGCUGAAAGGCCCACCCGGCUGGGGCCAGAGUCGGAGAGUUCUGCCCAGGUUACGGAGCUAAACAAAGGAACCCGCCCAUCUAACCCAGUCCUGACUGAAACUUCAGGGCAAAGCCUCGAGAUGUGCGGUUAUCUUUCCCGGAAGUCAGGUGUCCAGGAACCCCAAACAGUGCGGAUGCUGACGGCGUUAGCAAGACCCGUGCUGGGGCGCUCAGCACACCGCUCACGCGGUUCCUAUGGACCCUGGCCCCGCCGUCCAGGCCGAGGGAGUAGCUCUUCCGAGUCGCAGUCCCAGCUCCUGGGUCCGGUGCAAACUCGCUGCAGACACGUACAUUUCUCUAACGCACGGCGGACCGGGUUCCCCGCGUCCAGGCCCAAAGCUCGCCUACAAAAGAGCAACUCUUGGCGUUGGAGGUCCAAUCGAACCUGUGAGGAAUUCUUAUCCGGCAGUCGGCUUUGAGCGCACUGGAAAUGAAGAGAGGUACAGUUGAACUGCGCAGGCUCCAGAGCUGAUCAGUCUACUUAGAAGGGAAAUCGAGCAAGCUUUUAAGCAGCGGCUCGUUGGUCUAGGGGUAUGAUUCUCGCUUAGGGUGCGAGAGGUCCCGGGUUCAAAUCCCGGACGAGCCCUCGUUUUGUUUUGUUUUUCCCCCACCUCUGGUUUCUAAAUAUUUCUCAACCAGAAAGAAUUUUCGAGAAAAAUGGCAGCCAGUACGUCACUUGCUCACUAAUUUUUAUUCG
Long non-coding RNA from Bos taurus (domestic cattle), 2806 nucleotides. NCBI's taxonomy places the organism in Eukaryota, Metazoa, Chordata, Mammalia, Artiodactyla, Bovidae. The record is from Ensembl.